Xenia sp. Carnegie-2017 is the source of this 585-nucleotide long non-coding RNA. RefSeq lists it as uncharacterized. The transcript is spliced from 3 exons. The record is from RefSeq and is a predicted model, not a curated record. NCBI's taxonomy places the organism in Eukaryota, Metazoa, Cnidaria, Anthozoa, Malacalcyonacea, Xeniidae.
AUUUUACCUUUUCUAUGGUCAAUGGCAUGCUGAAUUGAUGAGAACACUUGUAACAGGAACACAGGAAAUAUCAGAAGUAGUAAAGCAUUUCGUGGUCCACGUUCAUGUUGCACAGCUAAGUUCACAAAAAUAAAGUUUCAGCUGCUGUAGGAUUACGAAAUUAGUGACAAUUUCUUUUGGAGCAAAUACUUGAAGACCAAAGACGUUAAAAGAUGAAUUUCAAACGAAUUUUUAUAAUCAGUAAGUAGUCGUGAAAGCUGAUUAAAAAAAUAUUUACAAUAGCCUCCGAGCCAGAGGCAACUAAUAUAUUUACAUAUAGACAAUUGUAAAUGAAGAAACGCAAUUACUUUCUACUUUUUCAAACAUUUUACAUUCUUAUAAUCUUUCUAAGAGCAAAACAUAUAAAAAUGGCUCAUAAAGAUUUCACAGUCGAUGAAUAAUUUUUGAAUUGUCUUAUUGUAUGGUAUUAUAGUGCAUGAGGCAGAACAAUGGAAGAUGGAAAAGUGUUUUACAAAAUAAUAAUGGAGUUUGUAAUUUUCCUAUACAAGUAAAUAAUUAUCGAUAUUAUAAAGAUUGUAUAUUUGU